GACGAACGCUGGCGGCGUGCUUAACACAUGCAAGUCGAACGGAAAGGCCCUGCUUUUGUGGGGUGCUCGAGUGGCGAGCGGGUGGGUAACACGUGAGUAACCUGCCCUUGACUUUGGGAUAACUUCAGGAAACUGGGGCUAAUACCGGAUAGGAGCUCCUGCUGCAUGGUGGGGGUUGGAAAGUUUCGGCGGUUGGGGAUGGACUCGCGGCUUAUCAGCUUGUUGGUGGGGUAGUGGCUUACCAAGGCUUUGACGGGUAGCCGGCCUGAGAGGGUGACCGGCCACAUUGGGACUGAGAUACGGCCCAGACUCCUACGGGAGGCAGCAGUGGGGAAUAUUGCACAAUGGGCGGAAGCCUGAUGCAGCAACGCCGCGUGCGGGAUGACGGCCUUCGGGUUGUAAACCGCUUUCGCCUGUGACGAAGCGUGAGUGACGGUAAUGGGUAAAGAAGCACCGGCUAACUACGU
Molecule: ribosomal RNA, 467 nt
Filed under: uncultured bacterium
Lineage: Bacteria
Description: partial 16S ribosomal RNA
Rfam family: Bacterial small subunit ribosomal RNA
Source: RNAcentral